Seriola aureovittata is the source of this 1041-nucleotide long non-coding RNA. RefSeq lists it as uncharacterized. The record is from RefSeq and is a predicted model, not a curated record. NCBI's taxonomy places the organism in Eukaryota, Metazoa, Chordata, Actinopteri, Carangiformes, Carangidae. The transcript is spliced from 3 exons.
GGGUCAUAAAGAGCUGCAGUGUCAUUGAUUGGAAGGCUGGAAGAGAUGACUAACAAUCACUCAUAUUCAUCAUGCAGAUACAUGACCCUGUUGAAGCCAUGGGGAAGGAGAGAGGCAGAGAAGAUGGCAACCAGCCAAGGACAUGUAUGGGCUGUUAUGUUUGUGUUUGUAUGUCAGUGUGGACAAGCACAGAUUGAUGGUUGGUUAAGACCCCGAGGCAAUAUGAAGCCUCCCUUGCAAGUCUUGUCAUCUCAUCUCAGCCCAUCCCUCCAUCCCAACCUGUCACUCCCCCCCUCCGUCAUCCCUCUGGCUUUAAUUUGUGCAAUAGUUGAAAACGUUGUGCAUCAUGUGUUGCAGCCAUAAUCCUAUCUGAUGUGAUGUAAAUGAUAUCAGUGUAACAAACCUAUGAUUUGAAUAAUCACAAUUUCCAAAUAAAUGCAGAAUGUUAUGUGUAAUUCUAUGUUGUGUGAUGCAUUAUUUAAUUGAUCACUGGCUACAAUUACAUACACAUAAUAAUGGCUAUUAUCAACACUGCAAGCAAAGCAAUAGUCUAAUUAAGAUGUUCACAUAAUCCUCCAUGCUUACAGCUCCCUAUAAUAACCCUGUGUAUGUGAGUGAAGUGUGUAUCUUGAGAGACAGCUGCAGGAACUGGAGCAAGUUUUGCCAAAAGAAGAGAAACAAAAAAAAAAAGGGUUGUGAUCCUGCUGCUAUCAAAAAAAGAAGAAGUAAUAAUUACAGCACCGACUCUGCAGAAGCACAGAAGCUUUUAAUUCCUGUGGUUUUCCAACAGAGCUGUUCUGACAUUGUGCCUGCCCUCCUUACCCGUGUUAAAACUAGACGCUGUCCAAAAGCUGCAUCAUGUCCAUGUUUUUCAACAUCUGUAAUGUAAAACCAUGUGACUCUAACAUCUGCACCUACCUACGAUCUCUGUCAUGAACAUCUGCACAGUGUAAUACAAUUCAAUACAGAUGUCCUGCUAUGAACCCUGUCUCUGUGAAGCUCACUGUUUUUUCUUUGUUGAGACUAUUUUAGUUUAAGUGU